GUGGGGAAUUUUGGACAAUGGGCGCAAGCCUGAUCCAGCAAUGCCGCGUGCAGGAAGAAGGCCUUCGGGUUGUAAACUGCUUUUGUACGGAACGAAACGGUCCUGGUUAAUACCUGGGGCUAAUGACGGUACCGUAAGAAUAAGCACCGGCUAACUACGUGCCAGCAGCCGCGGUAAUACGUAGGGUGCGAGCGUUAAUCGGAAUUACUGGGCGUAAAGCGUGCGCAGGCGGUGCUGUAAGACAGGCGUGAAAUCCCCGGGCUCAACCUGGGAAUUGCGCUUGUGACUGCAGUGCUGGAGUACGGCAGAGGGGGAUGGAAUUCCGCGUGUAGCAGUGAAAUGCGUAGAUAUGCGGAGGAACACCGAUGGCGAAGGCAGUCCCCUGGGCCUGUACUGACGCUCAUGCACGAAAGCGUGGGGAGCAAACAGGAUUAGAAACCCCUGUAGUCC
RNAcentral lists this ribosomal RNA (450 nucleotides) under uncultured bacterium. RNAcentral's name for it is "partial 16S ribosomal RNA". It matches the Rfam family "Bacterial small subunit ribosomal RNA", at positions 354 to 796 of the family's 1533-position model. The record is from RNAcentral.